Molecule: ribosomal RNA, 336 nt
Filed under: Bayadera brevicauda
Lineage: Eukaryota; Metazoa; Arthropoda; Insecta; Odonata; Euphaeidae
Description: partial 12S ribosomal RNA
Source: RNAcentral
GUAUUUGUUAAGUUCUUGAAACCUAAAGGAUUUGGCGGUAUUUUAGUCCUUUCAGAGGAACCUGUCCCUUAAUCGAUAACCCACGAUUUUAUAUACUUAAUUUAUUUUAGUUUGUAUACCUCCGUCAUAAGGAUGUCUUUUUAGAGUUAAUUUUCUCUUCUAUUAAAUAUAGAUAUGUCAGGUCAAGGUGCAGCUUAUGAUUAAGUGGAGAUGGGUUACAAUAAUAUUAUUUAAACGGAUUUACUUAUUUAUUUUUGUAAUUAAGGUGGAUUUGAAAGUAAAUUUAUUUAUUAAGUUUGUUGAUUUUUUGGCUCUGAAAUAUGCACACAUCGCCCG